UACGGGGGGAGCAAGCGUUGUUCGGAUUUACUGGGCGUAAAGGGCGCGUAGGCGGCCUCCGCAAGUCAAUUGUGAAAUCUCCGGGCUUAACUCGGAAAGGUCAACUGAUACUGCGGGGCUAGAGUGCGGAAGGGGCAACUGGAAUUCUUGGUGUAGCGGUGAAAUGCGUAGAUAUCAAGAGGAACACCGGUGGCGAAAGCGACCUUCUGGUCCGUUCCUGACGCUGAGGUGCGAGAGCUAGGGGAGCAAACGGG
RNAcentral lists this ribosomal RNA (254 nucleotides) under uncultured prokaryote. RNAcentral's name for it is "partial 16S ribosomal RNA". It matches the Rfam family "Bacterial small subunit ribosomal RNA", at positions 524 to 776 of the family's 1533-position model. The record is from RNAcentral.